ACAGCAGUCGCCGCGGUAAUACAGAGGGUGCGAGCGUUAAUCGGAUUUACUGGGCGUAAAGCGUGCGUAGGCGGCUAAUUGAGUCGGAUGUGAAAUCCCCGAGCUUAACUUGGGAAUUGCAUUCGAUACUGGUUAGCUAGAGUGUGGGAGAGGAUGGUAGAAUUCCAGGUGUAGCGGUGAAAUGCGUAGAGAUCUGGAGGAAUACCGAUGGCGAAGGCAGCCAUCUGGCCUAAUACUGACGCUGAGGUACGAAAGCAUGGGGAGCAAACAGGAUUAGAUACCCGCGUAGUCCCUGUCUCUUAUAA
RNAcentral lists this ribosomal RNA (305 nucleotides) under uncultured bacterium. Its description in RNAcentral is "partial 16S ribosomal RNA". It matches the Rfam family "Bacterial small subunit ribosomal RNA", at positions 508 to 809 of the family's 1533-position model. The record is from RNAcentral.